UUGAUGAUGAAGUCAUUAAAACGCGACAAUGUAUGGCUGGUGUGCGCGUGUAUAAAGCGGCAAUGUAAAAGUGCAAAGGUGAUUUAUAAUUUUCACUAAAAGGUUUAAUUUUAGUAACAUAAACUCCAUCGUUAUUGGCGUUUUUUCUGAAAUUAUAAAACGAAAUUGGAUUCUUAUAAUUUUUUCAACGCGUUUUACUGCCUCUUGUGAGUGUAACUACAUAAUGAGAGAAAUGUAGGUUAUACUUAACUAUAUUUCCGGAUGAUUUGAUUAUUUUCCUUUAAAGAAGCAGUAAAGCUCUGUUAAAACGAGUAUUAAAUAGCCAAAUAAUAAGUUUUUAUUCAUCGCUCGAAUCGCUGCUUUGACCUCCUUAAAUAAUCUGUGACAUUUUGGGGUUGAAGAUGUCAAUCAGUGGGCUCCCGUUUUUGGUAUAUCAGAGAGCCUCUCGCAUUGUUAUUCAUAAACAUACUUUAUCCUUUUUAAAAGAUUGUAGAACACCAAAAAUUGCUUCUUUUUCUUCCUGUGCACUGGGUAAAAAAUUUUGCAAACCAAAACAGACUGAGUUGCAACAUCAGCUUCGACGAUAUGUGCUGAGAUCAACAUUUGAAGCUGGUGCUGCAAGAAAAAGAGGACAGCUUGUGAAAAAGAAAGAAACGGUUAAAGCAGUUGAACAGACAGCCAGAGAGAGAAACGCCACAGAAAGUGUCCCAAGCUAUCCACUAACAACAAGUGAGUGGAGGAAAUUGAAAGAGCUAUACCGAGGCAAGAGGCAGUUUGAAGUGAGCAUGAUGACAAAGAUGGUAUCUGCCAGAAGUGAUGUGAAUGUUGCAAAGUCCCUCUUGACUUAUGUUGCGAAGGAGAAUGCUUCUAUCAGCUAUGAGUUGCUUCUCAAAUACCUCACACUUUGUGUUCUUGGCGAUCAUCAUGCAGAGGUCCUUGAUGUUUACGAGAUCAUGAAAAGUAGAUUCAAGGUCCUGGAUACAAGUGCCUACAGUCUCUUCAUUAAAUCAUUUAGCCAGACAGAAAACUGGCAAGAGUGUCUUACUUUUCUAGAAGAUAUUAAGAGGGUGAUCACUCCUUCUCCAAGGAACUAUGGGCAUGUAAUUGCUGGAGCCCUCCGGCAUGGCUGUGCCACUGUUGCAUGGCAGCUGUAUGAUGAAAUGCUUGCAACUGAUCUAACCCCUCAUCCAGAAACCUGGAAAGCUUUUUAUGACCAUAAACUUUACUCGGAUGAAAACAAAAGCAAGCUGAUGUCCAUUCUCGUGUACAUGAGGAACAAUCAAAUAUAUCCAAGUGAAUCACUGGCAAAGAGUAUAAAAUCAUGGUUUGAAAGUGAUCCAAAUAUUUCAUGGAAGGGAAGCUGGACUACUGUAGCACGAAGUGGUCAAUGCAGGCAUUGCUCUUCAAGUUUGGAGUCGAUUCACCUCACAGAGGAAGAAUACGAUGUGUUGAAGAAGAAAGUGAUGAAUGACGUUAUCUUGGGAAGUGAUGUAUUUAACAAGACAACACCUCAGGAACUACAGCACUUCAAGGAUUUUGUGAAAAAAAGACAUUCUUAUGAUGUUGUAAUCGAUGGACUUAACGUUGCAAACAUCACUAAUAGAGGAAGACAGUCGGAAAAUCUUUUGGAAGUUGUUUCUCACCUGGCAGAACUAAACCUUCGCCUACUGGUCCUUGGUCGAAAGCACAUGCUUAAACCAUCUCGUUCCUGGGACAGGAGUAACAUGGCUACCAUUCAGCAAAAAGCUGACUGCUUCUUCACAGAAAAUAUUUCAGAGGAUGACCCAUUCCUGCUAUAUGCCACCUUGCAUUCUGGAAACCACUGCAGGUUUCUAAGUCAAGACCUAAUGAGGGAUCACAAAGCAUGCCUAACAGACAGUGGCUUGCGACGGCUUUUCUUCAAAUGGCAACGUGGCCAUCAGCUGGUGCUGGCCAACUAUAACCCAGGGAGGAGUGUCAAUUUUCAGGUUGUACCUAUUUAUGAUACCAUCGUUCAGACUAAUGGGACUUCAUGGCAUAUUCCCUAUGAUAAGGAUGAAGUCGAGAGAUGCACGUAUGAAGUCCCAACAAAAUGGUUGUGCCUCGUACAGAAAAAUUAAGGGUUUUCUUCAAACAUACUCAGCCAUGCACUUUGGGGAAGAAAAAACAAACAACUGCUUUACCUGAAAAUAAAACAAUCACAGGGCUGAGGGAGUUGGAGCCUUGACUGGUAACAGUGGACAAAAGCCAAGGAUGGGAAGAGAGUCCUCCAGCAAACCACACACAUCCACGCAAGGGCAAUUAAGAGCCAUCAUUAAUGUACCUACACCAUUUGGAUGGGGGCAACAUUAAACUUCAAAGCAGAAAGAGAGCUGGAGGAUAUCUGGAAACAGGAUGCUGAAACUGUGAAGCAAAAAUUCUAAGGACCGCCUAGUCAAGAAUGCCAUUACUAUCUUCAUUUGGUAUUGCUUAACAAACAGAAAGGUUGUUGUAUUAAACAAUAAAAUUUCCAAGAUAGAAAUGCAUCCAUUUUCAACUCACUUAUCCAAUUCUGGAGCACAUAUGUUAAGGCUUAAUUCAACAGUACUGUGGGAUGAGCAGGAACAAUCCAUGAUGGGGUGUAGCCAAUCGCAAGGCACAUUUCUACACUUAGUCAAAGUGGGCACAUAACAGUCGCCAAUUAAGCUAACACAAGAAUUCUUUUGAGAAAGAAAAGGAAAGCAGAGAGAACUUAAUAAAAGAUAAUAACAACAUGAAAUUAAAUCAGUUAAUCA
This is an RNA transcript of Erpetoichthys calabaricus (reedfish), 2753 nucleotides long. It is a transcript of the gene named protein only RNase P catalytic subunit, with no coding region annotated. NCBI's taxonomy places the organism in Eukaryota, Metazoa, Chordata, Cladistia, Polypteriformes, Polypteridae. The record is from RefSeq and is a predicted model, not a curated record. The transcript has 9 exons.